RNAcentral lists this small RNA (266 nucleotides) under Arabidopsis thaliana (thale cress). RNAcentral describes it as "ATSL207050". Lineage: Eukaryota; Viridiplantae; Streptophyta; Magnoliopsida; Brassicales; Brassicaceae. The record is from RNAcentral.
AUUCAUGAGAAUUCACACCUCGUAAAAGGUCCCUCGGAAAUUUGCUACAGAAUUGACGGGACUUUGCGAGCAGAUAGGAGAACGUCGCUAAUUCUUUGCAAAUUUUGCGAGGAAUAUAUCCCUCGCAAAAUUUUCUUCUUCCUCUUCAUUUUCUUCUUCUCUAGUAGAACUGGCAGAAACUCUUUCGAUCGCUAAAUAGUCCUCCAUCUUCUAACUUUGUACCUAAGAUCUUUACAAUUUUCAUAGACAAGUCCUAUUUUCGCACC